GGCAGAGAAUGCAAACGUUAUUCGGAAUUACUAAGCGUAAAGCGCGUGUAGGCGACUGCGCAAGUCGGGUGUGAAAGCCCUGAGCUCAACCCAGGAAGUACACUCGAAACUGCAUAGCUAAAAUCUCGGAGAGGAAGGCAGAAUUCUGGGUGUAGAGGUGAAAUUCGUAGAUAUCCAGAAGAACACCGAUGGCGAAGGCGGCCUCCUGGACGAGAACUGACGCUGAGACGCGAAAGCGUGGGGAGCAAACAGG
RNAcentral lists this ribosomal RNA (253 nucleotides) under uncultured bacterium. Its description in RNAcentral is "partial 16S ribosomal RNA". It matches the Rfam family "Bacterial small subunit ribosomal RNA", at positions 524 to 776 of the family's 1533-position model. The record is from RNAcentral.